AGCGGAGGAAAAGAAACCAACAGGGAUUGCCCUAGUAACGGCGAGUGAAGCGGCAACAGCUCAAAUUUGAAAUCUGGCUAUCUUACCGUAGUCCGAGUUGUAAUUUGUAGAGGAUGCUUUUGGUGAGGUGCCUUCCGAGUUCCCUGGAACGGGACGCCAUAGAGGGUGAGAGCCCCGUACGGUUGGAUACCAAGCCUUUGUAUAGCUCCUUCAACGAGUCGAGUAGUUUGGGAAUGCUGCUCUAAAUGGGAGGUAUAUCUCUUCUAAAGCUAAAUAUAGGCUAGAGACCGAUAGCGCACAAGUAGAGUGAUCGAAAGAUGAAAAGCACUUUGAAAAGAGAGUUAAACAGCACGUGAAAUUGUUGAAAGGGAAGCGCCUAUGACCAGACUUGUUUCUGGCAGUUUCGUUAGCCCUCGGGCUGAUUUACUCUGUCCAGUACAGGCCAGCAUCAGUUUGCUGUCGGGGAGAAAGGCUCUGGGAACGUAGCUCCCCCCUUCUGGGGGGGAGUGUUAUAGCCCUCUGCAUAAUACCCUUCGGCAGACUGAGGACCGCGCUUCGGCAAGGAUGCUGGCGUAAUGGUCAUCAGCGACCCGUCUUGAAACACGGACCAAGGAGUCAACCUUAUGUGCGAGUGUUUGGGUGUAAAACCCCAGCGCGUAAUGAAAGUGAACGUAGGUGAGAGCUUCGGCGCAUCAUCGACCGAUUCUGAUGUUUUCGGAUGGAUUUGAGUAAGAGCACACAGGGUUGGACCCGAAAGAAGGUGAACUAUGCUUGUAUAGGGUGAAGCCAGAGGAAACUCUGGUGGAGGCUCGCAGCGGUUCUGACGUGCAAAUCGAUCGUCAAAUAUGAGCAUGGGGGCGAAAGACUAAUCGAACCUUCUAGUAGCUGGUUCCAGCCGAAG
This 901-nucleotide ribosomal RNA is filed under the name Ceratocystis albifundus. Its description in RNAcentral is "eukaryotic LSU rRNA". It matches the Rfam family "Eukaryotic large subunit ribosomal RNA", at positions 49 to 966 of the family's 3401-position model. Lineage: Eukaryota; Fungi; Ascomycota; Sordariomycetes; Microascales; Ceratocystidaceae. The record is from RNAcentral.